UGAUAACAUAAGGAUAUCCCAGCCAUCAUUUGUGUGUUCCCCGGGCUCCAUCAGGAAAAUGUUUAAUUGCCUGACCUGCCCAGAAGGAACAUACCAUGACGUCGAUGAAGAGAAAUGCGCAGCGUGUCCAUUUGGUCAGUAUCAGGACGAAGUUGGUCAGUUGAAGUGCAAGCAGUGCCCCAAUGACACUACCACCGACAGAAUUGGAGUGAAAAACGUGUCCAAGUGCAGAACUUACGAAGGUUGUAGUUGUGGAAUACAUCCAUGUAUACUAAAUGGUACAG
Lingula anatina is the source of this 284-nucleotide long non-coding RNA. The record is from RefSeq and is a predicted model, not a curated record. NCBI's taxonomy places the organism in Eukaryota, Metazoa, Brachiopoda, Lingulata, Lingulida, Lingulidae.